Molecule: ribosomal RNA, 492 nt
Filed under: uncultured bacterium
Lineage: Bacteria
Description: partial 16S ribosomal RNA
Rfam family: Bacterial small subunit ribosomal RNA
Source: RNAcentral
AGUGAACGCUGGCGGUAGGCCUAACACAUGCAAGUCGAACGGCAGCACAGUAAGAGCUUGCUCUUACGGGUGGCGAGUGGCGGACGGGUGAGGAAUACAUCGGAAUCUACUUUUUCGUGCGUGAUAACGUAGGGACACUUACGCUAAUACCGCAUACGACCUACGGGUGAAAGCAGGGGAUCUUCGGACCUUGCGCGAUUCAAUGAGCCGAUGUCGGAUUAGCUAGUUGGCGGGGUAAAGGCCCACCAAGGCGACGAUCCGUAGCUGGUCUGAGAGGAUGAUCAGUCACACUGGAACUGAGACACGGUCCAGACUCCUACGGGAGGCAGCAGUGGGGAAUAUUGGACAAUGGGCGCAAGCCUGAUCCAGCCAUGCCGCGUGGGUGAAGAAGGUCUUCGGGUUGUAAAGCCCUUUUGUUGGGAAAGAAGAGCAGCAGGUUAAUACCCCGCUGUUCUGACGGUACCAAAAGAAUAAGCACCGGCUAACUUCGUG